GACGAACGCUGGCGGCGUGCUUAACACAUGCAAGUCGAACGGUGCGGCCCGCAAGGGUUGCACAGUGGCGGACGGGUGAGUAACUCGUGAACAAUCUGCCCCGAACUGGGGAAUAACACUUGGAAACAGGUGCUAAUACCGCAUAAGACCACGAAUCGGCAUCGGUUCGGGGUCAAAGAUUUAUAAACAUAACAAUAGGCAUAUACUUCUUGUAUUUGCCACCAACAGUUAUGUUGUAAAAAAUUUUAUAAACAAAAUUUUUUAUCGGUUUGGGAGGAGUUCGCGUAUCAUUAGUUUGUUGGUGGGGUAACGGCCCACCAAGACUGCGAUGAUUAACCGGCCUGAGAGGGUGAACGGUCACAAUGGAACUGAGACACGGUCCAUACUCCUACGGGAGGCAGCAGUGGGGAAUAUUGGGCAAUGGAGGCAACUCUGACCCAGCAACGCCGCGUGAAUGAAGAAGGUUUUCGGAUUGUAAAGUUCUUUUAUCAAUGACGAAUAAAAUGACGGUAAUUGAUGAAUAAGCCACGGCAAACUACGUGCCAGCAGCCGCGGUAAUACGUAGGUGGCAAGCGUUGUCCGGAAUGACUGGGUGUAAAGGGUGUGUAGGUGGUUUUUUAAGUUCAAUGUGAAAUCCCGUGGCUCAACUGCGGAACUGCAUUGGAUACUGGGAAACUUGAGUGAUGGAGGGGCAAGCGGAAUUCCAAGUGUAGCGGUAGAAUGCGUAGAUAUUUGGAGGAACAACAGAGGCGAAGGCGGCUUGCUGGACAUUAACUGACACUGAAACACGAAAGCGUGGGGAGCAAACAGGAUUAGAUACCCUGGUAGUCCACGCCCUAAACGAUGAAUAUUAAAUGUUGGCGGUAUCGACUCCGUCAGUAUUGUAGUUAACACGAUAAAUAUUCCACCUGAGUAGUACGGCCGCAAGGUUGAAACUCAAAGAAAUUGACGGGGACCCGCACAAGCAGCGGAGCAUGUGGUUUAAUUCGAAGAUACCCGAAAAACCUUACCAGGACUUGACAUCGCCUGAAUAGCCGCGAAAUCGGUGAAGCAGAAGCAAUUUUGCAGGCAGACAGAUGGUGCAUGGUUGUCGUCAGCUCGUGUCGUGAGAUGUUCGGUUAAGUCCGAUAACGAGCGCAACCCUUGCCGUUAGUUGCCAUCAUUAAGUUGGGAACCCUAACGGGACCGCCGUAGAUAAUACGGAGGAAGGUGGGGAUGACGUCAAAUCAUCAUGCCUCUUACGUCCUGGGCUACACACGUGCUACAAUGGCAACCACAAAGAGCAGCAAUAUAGUAAUAUGGAGCGAAUCUCAAAAAAGUUGUCCCAAUUCGGAUUGAGGGCUGCAACCCGCCCUCAUGAAAUCGGAGUUGCUAGUAAUCCCAAAUCAGCAUUGUUGGGGUGAGUGCGUUCCCGGGUC
RNAcentral lists this ribosomal RNA (1418 nucleotides) under uncultured Eubacteriales bacterium. Its description in RNAcentral is "bacterial SSU rRNA". It matches the Rfam family "Bacterial small subunit ribosomal RNA", at positions 28 to 1380 of the family's 1533-position model. Lineage: Bacteria; Bacillati; Bacillota; Clostridia; Eubacteriales. The record is from RNAcentral.